RNAcentral lists this unclassified non-coding RNA (4559 nucleotides) under Hevea brasiliensis (rubber tree). The record is from RNAcentral. Lineage: Eukaryota; Viridiplantae; Streptophyta; Magnoliopsida; Malpighiales; Euphorbiaceae.
CGAGGCGCUAGAGGGUCACCUCGCCUCGCCUGGCUCCUCGGAGCGCGUUUAAUAACACUGGUACCCAUUUAACAGAGUGUCUGUCUAAAACAGUUUGAGGAAAAACUUGAGCUGCAUCAUCAGCAACUAAUUCAGGGGGGCAGAUAAGCAAUGACUGGAUGAUCUCCAAUUGCUUUCUUCAAUUGAGAAGCAUGAAACACGCGGUGGACUUUGGAAGAGGAGGGCAAGAUAAGACGGUAGGCAAUUGGACCAAGUCGAGCUAUAAUUGUAAAAGGGCCAUAGUAUUGAGCAGCAAGUUUUUGAUUAGUACAGGACACCACUAAGUGUUGUCGAUAGGCUCGUAGCUUAAGGAAAACUUUAUUACCCACUUGGAACUCCACAUCUCGGCGAUGUUUAUUAUGUUGAUGGAUCAUCUGCUACUGAGCCCUGUGGAGAUUGGUUUUUAACUGAUGCAACAUUUCAUCUCUGUUCUUUAGUGCUUGAGCAACAGCCUCAACAUGAAUUUCUCUAGGUAAAAAGUUGGGAAUAGAAGGUGGAGGUGGGUCAUAGACAAUUUCAAAUGGAGAAUGUUUAGCAGCUCCAUGAUAACUAGUGUUAUACCAGUAUUCUGCCCAAGGGAUCCAACGGGACCAAGAGUGAGGUUGCUCAGAAGCAAAACAACGCAAAUAGUGCUCCACACUUCUGUUGAGGACUUCCGUUUGGCCAUCCUUCUAUGGGUGAUAUGCAGAGCUUAAAUUCAAUUUGGUACCCGUAUUGAGAAAAAGUUCAGACCAAAAAUUACUAAUGAAAAUAGGGUCUCUAUCACUGAUGAUUGAAGUUGGUAUUCCAUGAAGGCGAACAAUCUCGUGAAUAAACAAAUCUGCUACCCCGAGCAGUGUAAGGGUAUUGGAGAAGCAAGAAGUGAGCAUAUUUGGAUGACAGAUCUACCGCCACCAGGAUGGAGUCCAUGCCAUGAGAUUUAGGAAGUCUUGCAAUGAAAUCCAGAGAGAUAUCUUCCUACACAUUUUUUGGAAUUGGCAAAGGCUGGAGAAGACUAGCAGGACUAAGAGAUUCAUACUUAUGUUUCUGGCAGCUUAAAUAUGAAGCAACAAAGUGUUGGACCCACUUCAUCAUACCUCUCCAGUAAAGUCUAGAAGCCAAACGACGGCAAGUGCGAAAAGCACCUGAAUGGUCGCCUGUUGGAGUUGAGUGAAACUCAGAAAUUAGGUGAGAGACCCAGGGGGAAUUUUUGGGCAAAACCAAUCAUCCUUUGUAGAAAAGGUAUAAGAGAAUAGGCUAAAUUGGUUUGUAAAUAAUGGCUCGAUGAUAAGAAUCAUUCUGGACAGCCUCCUUAAUAUCCUCUAAAUCCAACCACUGAGGAUGACAAAUGGCAGUAAGUUCAAAAUCCUUGUCGGUACGGCACGGAGAAAGAGCAUCAGCAAUGCCAUUGAUGCGCCCUGGUUUGUACUGGACCAUGAAAGAAUAUCUCAAUAACUUCAAAAUCCACUGUUGCUAUGUUGGAGUUACAAUUCGUUGUUCCAGCAAGUGUCUUAAGCUUAUUUGAUCUAUAAGAACCGCAAAUUUAUGACCCAAAAGGUAUGGUCGCCAGUGGUGAACAGCCAUAACCAAGGCCAUCAACUCUUUUUCAUAUGCUGAGUUAGAAAGAGUUUUGUGUGAGAGAGCUUUACUAAAGUAAGCCACAGGUUGUCCUCUUGCAUUAAUACCGCACCCACCCCUUUGCUAGAGGCAUCGCACUCAAUGACAAAAGGUAGAUCAAAAUUGGGCAUAGACAAGACAGGAGUAGAGACCAUUAUCUGUUUCAAAUUAUCAAAGGCAGAUUGGGUUGAUGCUGGCCAGUGAAAAUGGAUUUGAGCAUCCUUAGUAGUUAAAACUAUGAGCGGUUAUGCAAGAAGGCCAUACUUGUGAAUGAAACGGCAGUAAUAACCCGUUAAGCCAAGAAAACCCUGAAUGCCUUUUACUGUCUUGGGAAUAGGCCACUGUAAAAUAGCCGAUAUCUUAGAAGGAUCCAUUGCAACACCUUCUUUAGAAAUUAUAUGACUUAAAUACUCGAUGGAUGAAUGCCCAAAGGAGCACUUCUUGUGAUUGGUAGUAAAGUGAUGAUGUCGGUGAGCAUGUAAAACCGUUUCAAGAUGUUGAAGAUGCUCUUGCCAAGACUUAUUAUAGACUAGGAUUUCGUCAAAGAAAACCAAGACAAAACGGUGAAGUAGGGCCGGAAUAUAUCAUUCAUGGUUGCCUGAAAAGUUGCCAGCGCAUUAGUCAAACCGAAAGGCAUGACUAAAAAUUCAUAAUGACCGGAAUGUGUCUGAAAUGCGUUUUCAGAAUGUCUACUUCCGUUACCCGAAUUUGAUGGUAUCCUACACGAAGGUCAAUUUUAGAUAAAAAAACAAGACCCAUGUAGUUCAUCCAAAAGUUCUUGGAUAACAGGAAUUGGAUACUUAUCGGGAACGAUGGCUCGAUUUAAUUGCCGAUAGUCGACGCAAAAGCUCCAGCUACCAUCUUUCUUUUAAACGAAUAAUACUGGGCUUGAAAAAGGACUGUUACCAGGUCGAAUAAUUCCAGCAGCUAACAUUUCCUUUACUAGAUGCUUAAUUUCAUUUUUUUUUUUACUGUGACCAUAGUGAUAAGGCCUGACGGAAAUUGCUCCUGUUCCCGGUUGAGGUGGAAUGGAGUGUUUCGAUGCUCGGGAAGGAGUUAGAGAAGUAAUGUCAUUGAAUACAUGUUGAUAAUUCUAUAAAAGAGCAUGUAAUUUAGCCUAUUGAUCAGAAGUGAGUGCAGUAGGUGGUGGAGUCGCAGUAGACAUAGCAGAACAAUUCCACAAAAGAGCACAAUAAUUUACGUCAUGAAUUUUCAGAAGAGAAUUCAAGGAAAUAGGGGACCCAUGCAAGGAAGAGUUGCCUUGAAGAGAGACUACUGCAUUUCCAACAGAGAAGGACAUGUGAAGGGUUUGCCAAUUAACCUUGACCUCUCCUAGUGUCUCUUACCAAGAGAUGCCUAAAAUAAUAUCAAUACCGCCUAGAGGCAAAACAAAAAAGUCUGGCGUAAUAGUGAGAACCCCCCAAAUUGAUGGGUAACCGAGGGCAUAAGCCAAAAGAGAAUUGGCAUGGACCAUCACCAAGGCGAACGGCAAAAGACAUUGUAGGCUCUAAAGAGAGAGAGACAGCUGUUGAAUAAGGCGGUCUGAGACAAAGUAGUGGCUAGCGCCACUAUCAAUCAUUACAAUCAUAGAUUGAUUGGCCACUGUAGCUACGAGCUUCAUAGUUUUUGGGCAAGAUAUACCGCCUACUGAGAAUAAAGGAAGUUCCAUCUUAGUAAAAUGCGUCUCCAGUGACCCAGGAUUACUGCUAGCUGGGUCAGCACACUCUACCAAGGCUAAAUCUCUUGUAUCAACGCCCAAAUCAUCUUCCCUUGCAAUUAGCAUCCGAAGAGCUUUGUUAGGACAAUCAUGCAAAGGGGAAUAAGAUUGCUUCCAGUGAAAACAAAGGGCCUUUACACGCAAUUCCUGAUACUCUUUGUUAGAAUAAAGCCUGGUCUCCUUGGACUUUACUGGAAAAGUGGAAUUGUGGGAUGAAGAAGACAUCGUAGAUGGCAUCAUUAUUGCUUUGAGAGGUGUUGGAGAGGACACCGCUUCAGAUUUAGAAGAGAUGGGCCGAGAUGUUGAGGCAUAAGAGCUAACUGGGCCUAAAUAUUUAAGUUUACCCUUAAGCCCACUUAACUGUUGUUUGCAGUGAUCGAUACUAGAUUGGAGAGGAUGAUAGCCGCCUGUGAGAAUGAUCUUGCGCUCGAUUUCCUGAGCUAUGGACAUAUUACGGCAGAUGUCCGUAGCAUCAUUUUGAAGACGGAUUUGAAGUUCCUCACGCAACCCAUUCAGAAAAUUGCCCACAUAUUGACGGUUUGAGAGAUUAGGAACUUGGGCUGCCUUUGCAACAAAAUCAUCGAUAUAAUCUACGGUUCCAAUUUGUGGCAUUGCCUCAAGGCGUUCAAAAGGACUGGCCAUCAUGUCCGAGCCAUAGCAGCUGACGAGCUCCAUGGAAAACUUCUUACAAGAUAAGUCCGGAAUACACUGUCAUAACCAUCGCGGCCAAUGAAGUGCACUGCCGUCCAUGCAGAUAAAUGCUGUAGCGAGUUUGAGCUCUGGUUUGGUCCCAUCAAUUUCAAAAUACUGUUCCUCUGAGCCAACCAUCCUAGUGGGUCAGAUCCAUUGAAGGAAGAGUAAUUUGCUUGCUCGUAUCGGAAGAAGAGUCAGCAGUAACCUGAGGUUGAGGAAUGUGAGAAGAGGAGCCUUCAACCACCUGGUCAGUAGCGGAUGGUGUAUAAGAGGUGAGAUCACCGUCUUCCAGACUGCAUUUACCACAAGCUUUGUGGUGAGCAGGUUUUAGUUGUGACAAACUCGGAACGAAUCUGUUCAUCGUCUCCAGAUAACUUGGAGAUGUUAUCUUCCAAUGAAGAGAGAUUCCUCUCUAUCGAAUCCAGGCAGGACUCUAUGCGAGUGCUAGGCAUGCGGGUUGCAGGUCAGACCAAUUGAUAGAGUUAGGAAACUCAGUUUAAUAUCAAUAAAAUCA